RNAcentral lists this transfer RNA (65 nucleotides) under Cotylurus marcogliesei. RNAcentral describes it as "tRNA-Leu". Lineage: Eukaryota; Metazoa; Platyhelminthes; Trematoda; Diplostomida; Strigeidae. The record is from RNAcentral.
AUAUGGGUGCCAGAAGUUGCUAUGGGUCAGUUUUAAGCGCUGAAUAUGAAGUUUUUCCCCGUAUA